UAUUAUAUAUAAUAUUAUAAGGGUUUAUCUCUAAUAUUUAAAUUAAUAAAGUGACUUUAUAUAAUAAAUAAUACUGUAGGUCUUAAAAUUAAUAUUGAAAUAAGUGUGUUAAAUGUGUAAAAUUAAUAUUGUUAUAGGGUCUUAACCUUAAUAUUUAAAUGAGUCAAUCACAUUUAUUUUUUGUGCUUUAUUUUGUAUUUUUUUUGUUCUUUAAUUCAUCCAGUAUCAGAUUAUUUGCUCAUCACUGAACUGGACUAUCUCCUCGUGAAUCUGAGGAGAAACUGCAUGACAGGAAGUGUUCACUAGAAGUCGAUUUGUGACUCGUCUGAAGAAGAUUCACCUGCAGAAUAAUCACCACAAAGUCUCUUAAACAUCUGGAACAUCUGCUGGCUCAGGUAGAAACUGGUUCUGGUCCGGUUCUGUGACACAUGAGUCGACACGCAGCCGGAAAGAAAAACGUCUGGAUGUGCUGAUAAUUCCUCCUGUUGGUGCUUUGUCUGUGACCCUGAACACAGCGGAUGUAAUAACGGUGUCAUCUUUAAUCAGAGUUUACCUCUGGGAGGACAAACCAUCUAUGAUUGCUGGAUCAUCGUCAUGGCAACCAAACAAAAACUAGCUAAGAAAACCUGCACUGCCAUAGUUUGAUCUGCUCCUGUUUGAUCCGCUUCUCCUUUUUGUCAGUCAAAUUAUCCAUUUUUUGUUCAACUUAGUUCAGUCAGAUGGGAGAUAUGAAACACAUCAGCUGACGUGCACAUGAGGAUUUUUCCCAGGAAACUCCUGCUUGAUGCUGAGAACAGCAUUUUAAUGAACUGUCGUACAAGAACAUCAUUACAAAUGGUCGAUUAGAAAAGUCAAAGGGGUUUAAUGUGUGUUUGCUUUACUGCACAGGACAAUCUAAAAUGAGAAGCAGCUUCAAACUGGGAAUGAAAGCGACUCUGUUGACUACAAUCUAAUAAAUAUCAUACUUUCUGUAGCAAGACAUGUUGGAGAUCUUACAAGGAAUUAUGCUUUUAACCGUGGAAACUGGGAGGAUCAGCCAGUUUCAGCGUCCAGCUCAGUGAUGACUGUUCUAAUUAUCACCAGAUAAAUCUUAAUGCAGAGUCAUGAAGGCCUUAAUAUGUCAACUUAAUCCAACAGUGACAGAAAAGUUUGCAUUAAAAAACAUCUUUGCAACAGGAAAUAUGAUUUAUUCCUGCAAAAAAAACAGUUUUAUGUUGAAAUAUUAAUCAGUUAACGAUUUGUCAGCUUGUCGUCGAUUCAAAUUCAAAGAUAUUUGUACUCAGUGAUGCUUUCAGUAACUUUACCACAUACUGGGGAUGACAAUAUUGUCAUGAAAACCAUGAAUUUACUUUAUUUUUUGUCUAUUUUUAUCUGAGUGCAGCCUAUAACUCAACGAAACAGCAGAACAGACAGUAUCCACACUAGUAUAUAGGACAGUAUCAUCAGAAUAAAAAUGUAUUUAAUUAGAUACAAAUGAAAGUAACAGUAAUAAAUGCUAAUACAGGCAGACAUGGUGUUAAAUUUGUAACUUUGCUGCAGACAAUGGACUGUAUUUAAUGCCACCAACAGGGUUCUUGAAGAACAGUUUUGAAACUCUGUCCAUCUCCAUCCUGGCAGUAUCUGACUCCUCCAAACUCCCAGCUAAUCCAAAAAUGCCUUUCAGUCUAUGGAGUCUGAAUACAGUAAGAAAAAAAAGUUUGCAUUAAAAGGCAUCUUUGCAGCAGGAAACAUGAUUUAUUCCUGCAAAAAGGAGCCAGUUUUAUUUUGAAAUAUUAGUUAACAGUUUAGACUUGUUCAGACUAUUUAAAUGUCAGCUUGUCAUCAAUUCAAAUUCAACAACAUUUGUGCUCAGUGAUGCUUUCAGUCACUUUACCAAUUACUGGAGAUGACAACAAUGUCAUGAAAACUGAGUUUACUUUAUUUUUAUCUAUUUAUUUUAUCUGAAUGCAGUCUGUAACUCAACAAAACAGCAGAACAUACAGUAUCCACACUAACGUGCAGAACAGUAUCAUCAGCAUAAAAUGUACUCAAUUCAUUGUCUUAAAUUAACAAACUGUAAUGAUGGAAACUGCUGAUUAAUCUGUUGAACAGUCAGUUUCCUGUGAACAUUCAAGAUGGUGUUUGUAGAUAAAACUCGACAGAAAUGUGAUGAUUUUCAGUUUUUCUUUCACUUUAUUUUGUGCUUCAGUUUCCUCAUAGAUAUGUUAUUACCGCCUGUAACGAUCUAACUGUAUUUAUGUUGAACAUGUAUGUGAAAAUGAGUCUUUAAUUGAAUGUCGAUGCCAAUAGGAAGCCAGACAGCGGUCAGACAGUUCAGAGUGGACUGUGUGUUUGCUUCAUAUCCAUUUCAUUAUUACAGCCACUAAUAGAAAGGAGCUUAAUGGAGAGAGGAGUCAGUCGAUACAAAUUGACUUAUCAGGCCCACAGAGGGAGGGAGACAUGGAAGCUUCUUUUAUCUCUGAAGUUGAUUUCAUUACUGUCCAUUGGCAGGACAUAUGAAAAGCAGCUGUGAGUGUAUCACCGUUACAGCCUGGUGGAGGAGGUCAACUCUAAACCCCGUAGUUGUGUGUUGUUACUCUGUGUUUGUCCUACUCACUCCUGGAUCCAGAUAUCGACGUUUUCUGGGCAAAGUGCCGUGAAAUGUCUCGUACCACCACCAGCCUCAGAUUUCCACAAUAAAACAGGCAGAUCAAGAUAAGAUAAGAUAAGCUUUUCCAUAUCCAACCAUGUCCUGUGCAACUUCAGUGUACUCUUAACCCUCGUGUUGUCCUGCGGGUCAAAAUUGACCUGGUUUAAAGUUUGAAAAUAUGGGAAAAAAAUAUUUUUUCACAGUGAAACUUCUGAUGUCCACAUUUUCAACAUUUUUGGGAAAUCUUUGAACAUUUUUUGGUGGAAAAAAAGAAAUGUUAAAAAUGUUUCUUAAGAACAUUCACAAAAGAUCCACCAAAAUCCAGGGAAUUUCACUGGAUUUUGGUAGAUUUUUUUGUGAAUGUUCUUAUAGAAAAUAUUACAAAUUUUACUGAUAUACAUGUAAUCACUUUAGAUAUUUUUAGGAUUUUUUUGAAGAUUUUUACUCAUUUUUUGAAAAAUAUUUACAAGAAUUUUCUAGCCAAAUUUGGAGGAUUUUUAAAAAAAAAAAAAAAAAUCUUUUAAGGAAUUUUCUUUCUGAAGGUUUUGCAAAUUUUCAGAAAUUUGGGGAAUUGUUUUGCUGAAUUUUUGGAUUUUUUUCAGACAAGGAAACAGUAUUUUUUGGUGCCCCUAAAUGAGGACAACAGGAGGGUUAAUCUGAAAGAGGCUCGGUUAGGGUGGAUAUUAUCAAACGUGAGCCGGUGUGUGGUUCUGGAGCAGAAAAUUAAAUAAGUCGCAAUCUACAUGCUUAUCAGAAUUGUUCAAAAAGUCAUAAAAUUGGGCCGAUAAAAAUGAAAAACCAUCCUACAUUUCAUAAAUCUGGCUGCUGUCCCUGUUAAAGUGGUCUCCAGAGUGAUCCUCUGCUCCCAAUGCUCCUGCAACACAUGAAGCUUCCUGGAUGUCCUGCUCUACAAACCUGUCAAGCAUCGUUCAUGAUGAGCUCAGUCUCCUGAAACGACCCUUCAUCGACUGGAAUUUCAUUUUGGGGAAGAAGAAGUUCGAGACGGUAGUGGUGGAGAGCGCUGAUCAUGUUGGUGCAUCGGAGAACCGUCUAGUUCUGGUUCUUCAGGAUGUUACAGCAGAACUCUGUCUGUCCAACAAAUUAAAGCCCAACCAGAUGAAUGUUGCAGAAAACAGUGAGCAUCGUUCUGCUCCUCCUCUGUUCAGCUGCUGUUUCAGAACCUCCUCUGAUCCUCCACAUGAAGGUUGGAGAUGUUUCCUCUCUGAUAGUUUGGACUCAUUGGAGAAAUUGAAAAUGUGUUCACAGAAACCUGAUGAACACACCUGAAGGUGUUGAUGAAGAUCGUUACUACUCCGUAUACAUAAUCCCAGGACUUUUUCAUCAGCGCUCGCAUUUCUUGUCACACAUCUGUACAUCUGCUUCAGCUCGGAUUUGUAGAUGUUCGGUAGUUUCACUGUCACAAAGCCCCAGAGUCUCAUGUGAGGAGGAUGGAGUAGUAUUACUGUCAUUAGUCCGUCACACGACUUUAAACCAGGAAGUUCACCAGCUCAGUCCGAGAUCGGGAUCCUGGUCCAUCUCAGGAAAUUUAAGUAAUCUGUCUGAUGUUUUAUGUACAGCUGUUGUCAUGCACAAACACAAUAAUGUACCGCUGGGCUGAAUGGUGUCGCCUCAGUUGAACUCAUUUUUUUAUAUUACAUCAAUAAACUUCAGACAAGUCUCUGUCACAGUGCUCCUUCACUAGCUAAACUCCCACAAUCCUCUCUGCUUGUUAACAUGAACUACCCGUCGUCCGAAAUUACGCGCAAACAAAAGAAGAAAAACAAGAUACAAAAUCACAAAAACAAGACACAGUAUGACAAAAAAAUAGCUGUAAAAUGACAAGAACAAGACACAAAAGGACAAAACUGAGAAACGAGACACAAAAUUAGAAAAACAAGAUACAAAAUUUGAAAAAUGAGAUGACCGAGAAAUAAAAUGGCCACAGCAAGGGUCAUUAACCUCCACGAGUCUUUGUCAUAGUGCCGGUUGCUAGCUAAACUCCCACAAUGCUCUCUGCUUGCCAGCAUGAACUGCCUGUCGUCCAAAAUGAUGUACAAAACAACAAAAACAAGACACAAAGUGACAAAAAUUAGAUAUAAACUAACAAGAACAAAACACAAACAGAUAAAAGUUUGAUAAAUGAGACACAAAAUUUGAAAAAUUAGUUGUCCGAGAAAUAAAACAGCCAAACAUUUACACUCAUUAACCUUCACAUGAGUCUUUGUCAUGGUGGCCGUUGCUGCUAAACUCCCACAAUGCUCUCUGCUUUAACAUGAACUGGAGUCUGAGUGACGCUAAACAUAUUGUUCUGACUGGUAAUUCUACACAUGCGGUUCUCGUGGUCGGGUGAAAUCCAAUAAUUCCUGCCCCUCGUCUCCGAGUCUGGAGACUGGAUGCUCCAAAUUUUCCAGAUUGGUUGUGUUUUUUCCCCUCCCCUGCUGUUUGAUCAGGUUUGGGAAAAUCACACAGCUUGGGUUAAAAAUACACGUUUGAAGCUUCGCGUCUAUUUUCUGGGUUGCCAUGGUGACGAGUCCCGCCCCAUGUGAUAUGGGAUGGCAGAAAAGCAGUGAAAGUAAAUGGCAAAGAUAUGUCGAUUGGAAACUUGUAAUCAAACAAAUCAGCAGAAAAACAAAGAGCGAGAAAUAUGUGGUUUCACCUCAUUAAUUAUCCUCAGAUUGUCUGAAUAUUCCAGCAGUAUGAAGCACGGCUGCAUUUUUACAUGUCGUUAUAUAUUCGGUGGCCGAUCUGUCGCAUCUCAUCGGCUGUGACUGAUCGGAUCGAUGGAUGUUGACUUGUGUUGAAUGUGAGGUUUCCAGCUGUGGAUCAUUGAAUCCUCCCGAUCGGCGAGGCGUUGCUGUGGCGUCACUGCCAGUUUUCACUGUUUCAUGGAGGCGCUCCAGUGUUGGUCUGCGGAUGACAUCAUCACUCCGGUCCGUCUGUGUGCAGCUCUUCACGAGGAGGGAGUGGCUCAGAUCCUCCGUUUACACAGAAACAAGAACGAUUCUCCAUCUCCUGCAAAUGAACCCUUUAACGGGAUGCCAUGUGUGAUUUCUGUGCUGAACCAGAUGCAAAAUAAAGAUGUUUCUUUAGGUUUUUAAGUCUAAAAACGGUCUUUUCCUGCAUGCUGGUUCUUAUUGCGCUUUAAGCUGGAGGAGCAGAAAUCUCAAAGCACAGUGUGUGUUUUUGGUGCUUGUGUGUUUGCAUUUAACAGCUUGUGUAGUCUAUAAAUGUUCACAUUCUUUAGCACUCAUUUCACGUCAAUGCGAGUUCGUCUUUUGAUACUCACCUUUAAAAAGCGUCCUGCUGCAGCCUUUAGAGACACUCAGAAGUUUGAGGGUUUAUAUAAUAGGAAUCCAACAACUCACUGCGAUCAGAAUUCAAGAGCUCUAAGAAGCUAUCUAAUGCUUCCUGAGUUUUUGUUUUAUCUUCAUCUAUAUGGGAAAUCCAGGAUGCUGAUGCUUAUUUUUAAGUUUUCAGUUCAAACUGAACAUAUUCAGAGCAGCUUCUAUAAUAGGUUGUGAUGUUUUUUGUGUUGUUUUGAAGCUAAAUAUCGCUUAUAAGAUCUUGUGAUCAUUUUAACAGCUCGAGAUUGAUCAUUAAAUGUGCAUUUUAUGGUUGCAUGUGAAUGUGAUGUCAGCGAUUAUAAUUCUUUCUGCUGUUUACAGCCUCAGUCUGACAGGCAUCCAUCAUCUUUACUACUGCCCUGUAUCCUCUUUCUCCUGAUUUUGUCAUUUUUUCACAAACUCGUGGUUCGGCAGCCGACUGCCUCUCUGCAAAUAUGGAUUAUUAUUCUGCCAGGUAUUAUGCAGUUUUGCUCAGCCAUUGUGGGGGUGGUGGGCAGCGGAUUGUGACCAGAUGACGGCUAAUCUCUCCUUUGUCAGGCUGGAGGGAAGCGAGGAUGUCUGUGAUGUGUGGGCUUCCAGGAUUCUUACGUCACAUCGGAGUCUUUGCUAACACAGAUUUGGUCUAUAACAUGUAAGAAAUGGUACAAACAGGCUGCAACAGAAGUGCAUCCACCCCUGUACAAUAUCAUUUAAAUAUCUAAUAAUUCAAAAUUGCAUCACCUCCAAAAACUGCAUUUAUUAGAUAACAGACACUGUAGAAAACUCAGAUCCCAAAGUAGAAACAUAAUGCAACAAAAGGGAAUCCAGCUGUGAUCAGUGAAACUAAACAACCAGUUUAACUGCAUGAACAUGGAUCAGUUCUGGACCUAUGGAUUGGGUCUCUCUAUGUCUGCAUCAUGGAUCCACAUGGAAAAGAACUAAACAGAGGAAGAGAAAAAUCUGACUGAGAGACUCAACAAAGAUGGAAAAAGAUCCAGGAAGAUCAGUGAGCAACUAAAAACCAGUGAAGCACAGAAUCAGCAGUAAUCAGGAGGUCUAGAAGGAGUCAUAGUACCACUAAUCAGGAGGAUUAGUGGUACUAUGAUCAGGAUUAAACAAAAUGUGUCGACAACGAGGCAGCAACUAUCCCAAAUUACUGAAAAGUUGUCCCAAUAUCUGCCCAAAAUUUGUCAAAACAGGUUAAAGUAUGUCCUUAAUUACAUAAGAUUUGUCCAAGAUGACUCUAAUGUGUCCACGAGUCCAAGGCAAGUUUAAAUUAUCAACAACAAAAAAACAGUCUAGAUCGGACCUGGACAGUAUGAGUCCUGAAGCCAACAGAAGCCUUGUGGUGUUCUCCAGAGAAAGGUAGAGCAACACAAUCCCUCCAGCAAAGAGCAGCUGAAUAAAACAGAGAAGAAUGUGAGAAGAUGUGAGCAGAAAUGAGUGGACUCUGGUUUCCUCCAUGCUGAGGAGGAUUAAAGGAGGACAAACAAAGGACUGGAGGAACCAAAGAACCUCAGGAAUCAAAGGACUUUUGUUGCAUUGACUUCCUGCUGCAGAGAAAUCUCAACUGUUCAGUUUAAAGUUGACAUAAGAGCAGCUCGGAGGUGAUACGAAUCAUUUGACAUUUAGGUAAUGUUGUAUCCUGUAGUUUACCAAAUAAAAGCUUUUAAUAAUCAGUACCUUCUCUUAAGCGUCAGUACAGAAACAGCAGCAUUAAUUCAUCUUUCACACUCAUCUCCUCGAUGGUCUCGAUGGACGAGAUAGAAAACGACAAAAGCAAGACACAAAACAACAAAAAUGAGACACAAAACGACAAAAAGAAGACACAAAACAACAACAACAAGACAAAAUGACAAAAAUGAGACAGAAAAUGACAAAAACAAGAUAGAAAAUGAGAAAAACGAGACAAAACGACAAAAACAAGACAAACUGACAAAAAUCAAAUACAAAACGACAAAAACAAGAUACAAAAUGACAAAAAUGAGACAGUAAAUGACAAAAACAAGACACAAAACGACAAAAAACAAGACAAAAUGACAAAAAUGAGACAGUAAAUGACAUAGACCAAGUCUCAGGUGAAAACAGGUGAAAUGAAAACGGCACAGAAAAUAACAGACGAACAUCCGCUGGAAAGUUCCAGCUGCACUAUAACAGCUGCAGGACUGUAGAGGUUUGGUAAAACAUCAGAUUCUACAUGUUAUUGUUUAUUUGUGGUUCUGAGGCGUCUCCUCACCAAACCUGUGAGCGAUGGACUCUGGGAUGGAGGGAUUUGUGGUCGGCAGCUUGGAGAAUCAUUCCAGGAUGCCAUCAUUAGCAGCAGAUAUCAAUAUAAUCCAUGUGAAAGAGGACCUCCUGUCAAUCCUCUUCAGGCGUCGAGGAAUCAUCCUCUUAAUCACCUCCAGCCAAAGAGAAGCUUCACCUGCAGAUGACGUCGACUCGGCUCUUCCCAUCAUGCACGAGUUUUUACAUUUAUCUGGGUUAUGCGCCGCGGUGCCGAAGCGCAGCUCGGUCUUAAUGGUGCAGUGGGGCUGAACUUGUCAUCUUCCAUUAGAACAGAGCUUUGAGUCCUGAGUGCAUCUUCAGGCCACUCUGCGUGUCUCUGCGUUUGUGUAUCUGUGUGAGAAACCUCAGAACGAAGACACACAAACAAACAGCGGUGACUGUCUGUUGGACAAUCAGGCGAGACACCGCCGACCGAAUUACUGCCUAAUGAGCACCGAGGGUCAGUGUGAAAUUAGGAAUGUGUGUGUGUGUGUGGACUGCAGCCAGAUAAUUAAUAAUUAUCACACAUUGCAACUAAAAUUCACUCUAUCAACUAAUCUUCUGCUAUUUUUCCCUCACAACCCAUCGUUAACACAAAGAUAUUCAGUUUAGCAUCAUGUACGGCAAUGAAAAGCAACACAACAUCAGAUUUUACCUUAAAAAUGACAGAAAAAAAAUGAUAAAAUGAGUGCAGAUUCAUUUUCAGUUGAUCGGCAAAUCCUUGCAGUUAAAGUCUACAAUAUCUAAAAUCUAGAAAAAUACUAAAACAUUUUGUAAAAUAAAUAAUAAAACCCUUCAGUCUAUCCAGCAGCUGAUGAGAUUUUCAGGCCACUUCUGCCAAAAUCUAAUUUCAACUGUUCGUCGAGAGUCAUUCAAUUCAAUUCAGUUCAAUUUUAUUUAUAUAGCGCCAAUUGCAGUCAAACUGUCUCAAGACACUUUACAGAACCCAUAUGCCUGACCCCCAGAGCAGCCCUAAGGAGACAGUGACAAGGAAAACACCCUUUUAACAGGGAAAAAAACCUCGAGCAGAACCCGGCUCUAAUGUGGGGGGACCCAUCUGCCUGCUGGCUGAGCAGGUUGAGAGGGACAGAAGAGGUAGAGAUAGAGGGAUAGAGGUAGAGGGUUACAGUUGGUGGGAGAACAUCCACAGAUCUGAAGCAUCCAGCUCUGGGAUCAGGGACACUCAGAGAAAGGACACAGAAAGAAACAGAGUGAAUGUAAUGCAAUAAUGGUAUAUAUAGUAAAUACAUAGGUAGUUAGAGAAGGGCUCAGUGCAUCAAGAGAGGUUCCCCAGCAGCCUAGGCCUAUAGCAGCAGAACUAGGGGCAGAACUAAGGGUCAUCUCCAUAGAAACAAUCUUGACUUUAGACCGAAAAACAACUAAAACAUUUAAAAAUAGACAACAUAUAUCAUUUAAAAGGCAAAUUUUUUUAAAUUAAAAUGAAUAAUGGGACAAAUAAAAGAUAGGAUAACUAUCAAACCUAAAUUCUUAAACAGGGCAAAAAGAAACAAACAAAACAAACAAAAAAUGGUAUGACUAAUAAAUAAGAACAGUGAUUGGGAAAAAAAAUAACAAAAGUGGAAGAGCAGCAAGAAAAAACAAAAAUAAAAAAAAGAAAUCUGUGUGUUUUGUAAAAUAAAUAAUGAACCCCUUCAGUCUAGCGAGCAACUGAUGAGAUUUUCAGGCCACUUCUGCAAAAAUCUAAUUUCAACUGUUAGUCGAGAGUCAUCCAAAGAAAUGAUCUGAAAUUUAGACCAAAAAACAAUUAAAUAUUUAAAAAUAGACAACAUACAUCAUUAACAUAUAAUGCAGACAUUUAAUCUGUGUUCAGCUACAUCUAAAUAUUAUUGCAUCAGGAGGAGGUUUUAUGAGAAGAAGAAUUAACAGCAAAUUAUAUCGUAUUAAAAUAAAGACCCAUUCAGACAUUUUAUCGGCUGGAACAAGGAAAAUAAAAAUAUAUAAAGUAAAUAUUGUCAUUCCGGUUUUAAGGACACGCUCUGAAAUUCAUGUAUCUGGUGGAUUUUAAAUAAUUUACGAAGCGAGAAAUAAUUUACAUCCUGGCAACAUGUUCUCAGACAGAGAGGGGGUUUAAGUCAGGAGGAAAAUCUGAUUUAAAAAAACAUUGAGUUCAUGCCACUGAAGAGAACGCUUCCUCUUAGAUGUUGUUCAGAAAGGUGUAAAAAAAGAAACAAUGGUGUAACACUGAUGCUAAAUCCUGUUUGAUUAUAGAAAAGCGCAUUGAUCUCCAAGCUCAUUUUUGUAUGUGAAAUAUUUAUGGAAAUGUUAUGUUUCUUUAAAAUUUGUUUAUUGGUCAUUUCAUUUGUUACUCAUAUUUAUUUUAAUCUUAAUUUUUUUUUGGACAUUUCUGAAAUAAAUCAAUGUUAUUUAUCACUGAAGUAAAAUCGAAUAAAUGAUUCCAAGCAUAGAUUUAACUCUGAAAUUUUAGCUGAAGGUCAUUUAUGGUCACAAAGCUAAUUUUAAAAAAAAAACCAAUUUAACCAAAAUAGGUCACUCAAACAAAACAAAUAAAAAAAGUAAAAAACCAAAAUGUAAUAACAUGAUUCGUUAAAAGAAAAAAACAGCAUUAAAAAAAUAAAAACAGAGUGACACAACGAAAAACGUGAUAGUAGAAACUACAAAAAAAGAUGAAAAAACACUAAAAAAAAAAGACAUAGCUGAAAAUGGGACAAAUAAACACAGCAUGAAAAAUCAAACAGGGUGAAACAAAACAAUAAAAAAGUAAAAACUAAUUAAAAAAAUAAGAGUGGAAUGUAAAAAAAAAAUUAGAAUAACGCUUAAAAAAACAACUAAACAGAGUGAUUUGAAAAAAUUAACAAAAGUGGAAGAACAGGAAGAAAAAAAUAGAAAUCUAAGAAAGUGCUCAAUACAAGAUAAACAUAUUAGAAACAAUUCAUCGGUCACAUUGGUGUCAGAAUUCAAGAUCUAAAUAUCAACGACUCUUAUGUUCUGUUAGAGAACACGGAGCUUUUAUUGAACAAUAUUAUCAAACCUGCACUCAUUUAUGUAACGCAGAAGCAAAUGGAUGCUCACUAUGGUGUCAUCUUGAAAUAUUUGUCUGUUCCUAAACAAAGAAAACACACACACACACACACACACACACACACACACACACACACACACACACACACACACA
Amphiprion ocellaris (clown anemonefish) is the source of this 11371-nucleotide long non-coding RNA. RefSeq lists it as uncharacterized. The transcript is spliced from 2 exons. The record is from RefSeq and is a predicted model, not a curated record. NCBI's taxonomy places the organism in Eukaryota, Metazoa, Chordata, Actinopteri, Pomacentridae.